RNAcentral lists this ribosomal RNA (559 nucleotides) under uncultured bacterium. Its description in RNAcentral is "bacterial SSU rRNA". It matches the Rfam family "Bacterial small subunit ribosomal RNA", at positions 60 to 665 of the family's 1533-position model. The record is from RNAcentral.
AGUCGAGCGAGACCUUCGGGUCUAGCGGCGGACGGGUGAGUAACGCGUGGGAACGUGCCCUUUGCUACGGAAUAGUCCCGGGAAACUGGGUUUAAUACCGUAUGUGCCCUUCGGGGGAAAGAUUUAUCGGCAAAGGAUCGGCCCGCGUUGGAUUAGGUAGUUGGUGGGGUAAUGGCCUACCAAGCCGACGAUCCAUAGCUGGUUUGAGAGGAUGAUCAGCCACACUGGGACUGAGACACGGCCCAGACUCCUACGGGAGGCAGCAGUGGGGAAUCUUAGACAAUGGGGGCAACCCUGAUCUAGCCAUGCCGCGUGAGUGAUGAAGGCCUUAGGGUUGUAAAGCUCUUUCAGCUGGGAAGAUAAUGACGGUACCAGCAGAAGAAGCCCCGGCUAACUCCGUGCCAGCAGCCGCGGUAAUACGGAGGGGGCUAGCGUUGUUCGGAAUUACUGGGCGUAAAGCGCACGUAGGCGGACUGGAAAGUUGGGGGUGAAAUCCCGGGGCUCAACCUCGGAACUGCCUUCAAAACUAUCAGUCUGGAGUUCGAGAGAGGUGAGUGGA